Non-coding RNA from Monodelphis domestica (gray short-tailed opossum), 831 nucleotides. The record is from RefSeq and is a predicted model, not a curated record. NCBI's taxonomy places the organism in Eukaryota, Metazoa, Chordata, Mammalia, Didelphimorphia, Didelphidae.
GCUUCAGACAAAGAGAACGGAAGUGACUUUCCCAAAGUCACACAGAUAAUAAAUAUCAAAGGUAGGACUUGAAAUCAGGACCUUUAACUCCAAAGUCAACACUCUUUCACUGGUACUUGGUCAGAGUAAGCCCAGACUCUACCUCUGCCUCUCUGGGUGACUUGGGGGAAGAAAAGAGUCUCUGGUUUUAUUUGAGGGGGAAACUUGCCCUUGACAGGACAACUGUGUCCCUGAUGGCCUGAAAAAUGGAGUUCAUCUGUUCUGGGACACAUUCAAAACAGGAAACAGUUUCAAGGACUGUGACCUCUAGCCGUCCAGAAGAGAGCCAGCCACCAAAGAACCCAGCUGACGAGAGAGGACUUUUGCUUUUCCACUUUCAUCCCUUCCAGAGUAUAAGGGACAAGAGGAAUUUCUUCCUCCUCUCCACAGUCCUAUUGGCCAUAUUGGUUUGCAUCAGAACCAGGGCCUGAGUAGGAGGCUGGAAGCAGAGAGAAUGAAAAGAAAUCCUCAGAGUUGGGAGCUGAGUCAAGCAUCAGGGAUAAGCCAGCCCAAGGGACUCAGUUAAGAGACCAGCUGAGGAUACUCCAUACCCAGGAGGGCACCACAAGAAGAGGAAGGAUAUUGGGGCCCUGGAGGCCCAGAAAUGUGAAUUGCUUUGCGCAGCCUGUGCCCUAAUUAUGUGCAUCUCUCCAAAUAUAUGCUAAGGACAUGGUCAUUUUUUCCAGUGAGAAAUGGGUGCCGUUGUGGGAGAUUGUGCCCCACAUUUAUGGAGAGGAAUGGUUUAUUACUAGGGAUCUUAUGAUAUGGUUUUAGUAAACAUUUCCAUUUUGA